This 466-nucleotide ribosomal RNA is filed under the name uncultured bacterium. RNAcentral describes it as "partial 16S ribosomal RNA". It matches the Rfam family "Bacterial small subunit ribosomal RNA", at positions 28 to 507 of the family's 1533-position model. The record is from RNAcentral.
GAUGAACGCUGGCGGCGUGCUUAACACAUGCAAGUCGAACGAUCAAGCCCAGCUUGCUGGGUGGAUUAGUGGCGAACGGGUGAGUAACACGUGAGUAACCUGCCCUUAACUCUGGGAUAAGCCUGGGAAACUGGGUCUAAUACCGGAUAGGAGCGUCCACCGCAUGGUGGGUGUUGGAAAGAUUUAUCGGUUUUGGAUGGACUCGCGGCCUAUCAGCUUGUUGGUGAGGUAAUGGCUCACCAAGGCGACGACGGGUAGCCGGCCUGAGAGGGUGACCGGCCACACUGGGACUGAGACACGGCCCAGACUCCUACGGGAGGCAGCAGUGGGGAAUAUUGCACAAUGGGCGCAAGCCUGAUGCAGCGACGCCGCGUGAGGGAUGACGGCCUUCGGGUUGUAAACCUCUUUCAGUAGGGAAGAAGCGAAAGUGACGGUACCUGCAGAAGAAGCACCGGCUAACUACGUG